CGACCGGCGCACGGGUGAGUAACACGUAUCCAACCUGCCGUCUACUCUUGGACAGCCUUCUGAAAGGAAGAUUAAUACAAGGUGGCAUCAUGAGUCCGCAUGUUCACAUGAUUAAAGGUAUUCCGGUAGACGAUGGGGAUGCGUUCCAUUAGAUAGUAGGCGGGGUAACGGCCCACCUAGUCUUCGAUGGAUAGGGGUUCUGAGAGGAAGGUCCCCCACAUUGGAACUGAGACACGGUCCAAACUCCUACGGGAGGCAGCAUG
RNAcentral lists this ribosomal RNA (263 nucleotides) under uncultured bacterium. Its description in RNAcentral is "partial 16S ribosomal RNA". It matches the Rfam family "Bacterial small subunit ribosomal RNA", at positions 92 to 353 of the family's 1533-position model. The record is from RNAcentral.